Molecule: ribosomal RNA, 469 nt
Filed under: uncultured Dokdonella sp.
Lineage: Bacteria; Pseudomonadati; Pseudomonadota; Gammaproteobacteria; Lysobacterales; Rhodanobacteraceae
Description: bacterial SSU rRNA
Rfam family: Bacterial small subunit ribosomal RNA
Source: RNAcentral
GCGCACGGGUGCGUAACGCGUAUGCAACCUACCUUCAAUUGGGGGAUAACUCUGGGAAACUGGAAUUAAUACCGCAUAAGAUAGUAAUGCUUCAUGGCAUAGCUAUUAAAGAUUUAUCGAUUGAAGAUGGGCAUGCGUGACAUUAGUUAGUUGGKGGGGUAACGGCUCACCAAGACUUCGAUGUCUAGGGGUUCUGAGAGGAUGAYCCCCCACACUGGUACUGAGAUACGGACCAGACUCCUACGGGAGGCAGCAGUAGGGAAUAUUGGUCAAUGGACGCAAGUCUGAACCAGCCAUGCCGCGUGCAGGACGAAGGCCCUCUGGGUUGUAAACUGCUUUUGUAUAGGAAGAAACGCUCCGACGUGUCGGAGUUUGACGGUACUAUAAGAAUAAGGAUCGGCUAACUACGUGCCAGCAGCCGCGGUAAUACGUAGGAUCCAAGCGUUGUCCGGAUUUAUUGGGUUUAAAG